GAACACAAAAUGGCGACACGUGGUUAGCAUUCGUCGCCAACGAGAAAUUGGGGUCGGCCCGAAAGCUCUAGAAUGCACCCCUAUUCCUCCCCGGGGCCAUUCCCGCUCAACGAGUUUUAUGACCUAAAAAACCCCACAGGCUGGUCUGAAGAGGAAGACACUUAAAGAUGAAGUGCUUAAUUCAAGGUCACAGAAUGUCGGGGAUGGACCUCCAGAUUUCCUUACUGGAAAACAAGCUCAGGGCUCCCACUGAUUGUACAUUAUGGUGAGACGUGGUCUUGUAACACAGUGGUUAAGAAUGUGACUUUGGAGCCAGCCUGCUAGGGGCUGAAUUCUGACUCAGCCAUUUAUUAACUGUGUGACCUUAGGUCAUAGAAUUUUCCACACUCCUUGACGGAGGUUCUUAACCCUUAUCCAUCAGCAUUCUCAGACAGCACCUCCGGUUAGGGACAGUAUCUGACCGUCCGACAUCCCUGCAGCCCCCAUGCUGUCACACAGACUCAGCCUCAGGUAGAUGGUUUCCGUAGAUGGUGGCUUUCUUUGGACCCUUGAUAUCAACCAGUU
This 564-nucleotide non-coding RNA is filed under the name Pongo abelii (Sumatran orangutan). Lineage: Eukaryota; Metazoa; Chordata; Mammalia; Primates; Hominidae. The record is from RNAcentral.